GGGUUUCCUCCGGCCUCCAGGCUCUACUACAUCCUGAAACAGGUUUCCUCCAGCCUCCGGGCUCUACUACCCCCUUAAAUAGGUUUCCUCCGGCCUCCGGGCUCUACUACACCCUAAAAAGGGUUUCCUCUGGCCUCCGGCUCUACUACACCCUAAAAAGGGUUUCCUCAGUCUCCAGGCUCUACUACACCCUAAAAAGGGUUUCCUCUGGCCUCCGGCUCUACUACACCCUAAAAAGGGUUUCCUCAGCCUCCGGGCUCUACUACACCUUCCAAAGGGUUUCCUCCGGCCUCCGGGCUCUACUACACCCUAAAACGGGUUUCCUCCGGCCUCCGGGCUCUAUUACACCCUAAAAUGGGUUUCCUCUGGCCUCCGGGCUCUACUACACCCUAAAAAGGGUUUCCUCAGCCUCUGGGCUCUACUACACCUUCCAAAGGGUUUCCUCCGGCCUCCGGGCUCUACUACACCCUAAAACGGGUUUCCUCCGGCCUCCGGGCUCUAUUACACCCUAAAACGGGUUUCCUCCGGCUUCCAGGCUCUACUACACCCUAAAACGGGUUUCCUCCGGCCUCCGGGCUCUAUUACACCCUAAAACGGGUUUCCUCCGGCCUCCGGGCUCUAUUACACCCUAAAACGGGUUUCCUCCGGCCUCCGGGCUCUAUUACACCCUAAAACGGGUUUCCUCCGGCCUCCGGUCUCUACUACACCCUCAAAAGGGUUUCCUCCGGCCUCCGGGCUCUACUACACCCUAAAACGGGUUUCCUCCGGCCUCCGGGCUCUACUACACCCUCAAAAGGCUUUCCUCCGGCCCCCGGGCUCUACUACACCCUCAAAAGGGUUUCCUCCGGCCUCCGGGCUCUACUACACCCUCAAAAGGGUUUCCUCUGGCCUCCGGGCUCUAAUUCACCCUAAAAAGGGUUUCUUCCGGCCUCCAGGUCCUCCUCCACCCUUCAGUGGGUUCCCCUGGCCUUCUGCUCCACUUCUAUCCUGCAGCAGGUAGGUCACCAUCAGCAGGUGGGUCAAGUUUAUUCAGUUCCUAAAUGCUGCAUGGUUGAUCACUUGCAACAACCACAACAAAUAACAAGAAAAUACCUCAAUAUAAAAUUAAACUGAAUUCAGAUGAAAAGCUCAAAUGAAAACACUUUUCAAGGUUCCAAAAAAUGUGUUCAAUAUCAAUGAAAAAAGCUCUUUCAUAUUACCAAAAAAUCAAUACAAAACAACAAAACAUAAAAUGUGUUCAACACAAUCAUAGAAAUAACCAAAGGAAAAACAAUGUUCUUCCAAGGGAAACCAACAACUUAACAACAAAAUUCAAAGGCGCUCCAUGCUCCAAAUGAUCAAUCAUGUGGGUAAAAUACUUUUAAGGAAACAAUGAAACAACAGCAAAAUAAAAUUCUCAAAGAGCUUCCAAGGAAAUAUGGACCAACUAUGGAACAACAACAACAAAAAACAUUAUUCUCAAGAGCUUACAAGGAAAUAUGGACCAACUAUGAUACAACAACAACAAAAAACAAUAUUCUCAAAGAGCUUUCAUGGAAAUAUGGACCAACUAUGGAACAACAACAACAAAAACAAUAUUCUCAAAGAGCUUUCAUGGAAAUAUGGACCAACUAUGGAACAACAACAACAAAAACAAUAUUCUCAAAGAGCUUUCAUGGAAAUAUGGGCCAACAAUCAAACAACAAAAUUCAAAUUGCUCUUAGGAAAAUAUCACCUCAUUAGCAGGUUUUUCGAAGAAACUAAAGAACAGCAGUGAAAACAUUCACAAGGUGCUCUGGGAGGAACUACAGCCCAACACUGAGGAAGAACUGUGACAACCAGCGAGGCAUCAGACCUUGUUACAGUAGGUCUUCUGGGUCUACAAUAAGACCCAGAAGCCAUGGUGUACACUGAUAACCUGUCCUGUUUAUGUGUGUGCUGUACUGGUCGUGUUUGCAGUCCUUUGUGUAUUUGUAUAUCUCUCUCUCUGCUGGUCUUAAGAAGUUGCUAAAAUGCCCAAUGCUGCAGAAUUGGGCAUUUUGGCAAAAAUUUCAGGGACGCGCUGCUGUUCUACAUCAUGGCGUCUACAAUGAGACGGUCUUUGGUUCCUCCGUCCACGUGAGAAGUUGAGCCAGGCAUCCUCAUGCUGGGGACCAUAGCCGAAGUGUUCAUCCUAUAAGAAGACCCCGAUGCCCUCCAUCUCCAUAGGAUGCUGAGCCAGGAUUCAGAUUGGGUAGUCAACUAACCACCGGAUACCUGAAGCAAUUGGAGGCCAGAGCUGCUCUAACGUAGAUCCGACAGAAACAAGUGCUUGCAGGUCCUGCCAGUAUCAGCCCUGACUCCUGAAGGACUGUGCAAACUGCAAGAGGCUUCUGGUCAUCUUCAACCUGAGCCCCAGUCUGGAGGGGAUCAUGACUUUGUGGAAGACUUCCUGCAUGUUUCUGGUCCUGAAGACGUUGCACCUCCGGGAGCUGAACCACUUCAGACCCUCGCCUUUCAUCUGAUAAAGUCCAUGGAGGAGAUCAACCUUGGCACACCUGUCCGCUAGUGAGCUCGAGCCUGGACCCCCUUCAGCUCACCUACCAGCCAGACAUCAGGGUGGACAACGCUGUUGUCUACCUGCUGCACAGGUCCCUGGUUCAUCUGGAGAACCCCAGCAGUGCUGUGAGGAUCAUGGUCUUUGACUUCUCCAGUGGAGUACAGGCAGAUCUUUGUUGGCAGAGACUGGACAUUAAAAGGGAGUUGUACAAAUACCUGGGUGUUGGACUGGUCACACCUGCACCUGCUGAGGAGACCAAGGUCCUUCGGAGCGUGCAGGACUCCUGUUACGGACGUUUUAGAUAGUGUGAUGGUGUCUGCUCUCCUUUAUGCGGUGGUUCGCUGUGGAGGAGGGAGCGCAGAAAAAGACUAAACUGGUCAGGAGGGGCAGGUCUGUCCUGGACUGUUCCCUGGACUCUGAGGAGGAUGCUGGCCAAGCUGGCAUCCACCAUGGACAACCCCUCUCACCCUCUGCGUAACAUUGUUGGGGCCUGAGCAGUCCCUUCAGCCAAAGACUGUUACCCCGUCCCUUUAAGGAGUGCCAGAUCAUUCAAGCCAGGGACGGGCAACUUUGGUUACCAAGGGAACCACAUCAUUUCUGUUUUUUCCUUCCUGAGGGCAACAUUGUUUUAAAUAGUCAGAUAGGACUGUUGUAAUAACUUAGAACCAGGGAUUCUGAAAUUAAUCCCCACUAAAAAUGUUGAUCAUUGACAGCCCUACUUACAAAUAUAUUUCAGCAAAUUUAAUGAAUCAUCAUUUAUGCUUUGAAAGCUCGAAUCCAAACAGAAAAUCUUAAUGAGUGAACAUAAAAUAAAACAGGAUUUCAGCUUCUUCUUAAAUGCCAUGAUCAGUAUCGUUUACUUGCAUCUCCUUCCCUCCAAAUGCAUCUAUUAAUGCUUCUUUAAAGGGUUUUACUGAAACAAAUACAGUCGCUUCCCUUCAUUAAUGUCCUACAAAGAACCAAACAUGCACUAGUAAUCCUGUUUUACAAGAUUACAUUGAAGUAUUUCUGUUGUAUAUUGUUCUAAACUGUUCAUGCUGUUGUGCAGGUGGAUUUACUUCUUGGCUGAUGAUCUCAUGUUUACAGUUUGUUGACAGUAGAAAUGUUCUUCUAUUUUAACUGGUAUACAGUAGAUAUAAGAGCUUACAUAAAUGGGACUAUGCUUUUAUGUCUGUUUGUACAAAUAUGUAUGUGAACAGUCCCACAGAUGUUACAGCCAGCUAUCCAAAAGUCUUUGCUCCUCAACAUCUUCAAUUAUUGAUAAUACUAUUACAGUUUAAGAUGUGUAAUGUUACCUGGAUGUUUUUCCUUUAUUUAAAUCAGUUCCAUUCACACUGUUUUCUUCAAAUCUGGUCUUGAUCCUUCCACAAGUCAAAGUGUGCAUGUGUACAUUUGUAAAUAAGACUAUUCUAUCACUUUUGUCAUAUGGUAUUGAAGUAUUGUUGGUACUUUUCCCCUUACUUUGGGUUUUUUUUGUGUUAAUUUCUUUAUUAAAGAAUGCAAAUGUUACAAACAUUCCUAGUUUACAUUUUGUUUUUGUUAAAUAUUUGCUGGUUAUGUUUCCCUCUACUGUGAGCUGCUGUCAGAACCAAA
This is a long non-coding RNA of Cheilinus undulatus (humphead wrasse), 4111 nucleotides long. RefSeq lists it as uncharacterized. The record is from RefSeq and is a predicted model, not a curated record. NCBI's taxonomy places the organism in Eukaryota, Metazoa, Chordata, Actinopteri, Labriformes, Labridae. The transcript has 3 exons.